CUGAGACUCAGGAUGAAAUGAUUGAACUGCUGGCUGUGGUAUGUGCAGGUAACAUUUAUGCUCCCAUCUGCAAGCUGUCGUGCAGACUUGGAGGGGAAGCCACCCAAGGCACAGAGCAGGGCAUCUGUAUUCUUCAUCCAUAUGAAGAAGCGAGGAAGUGUGAAGGUUAAUUUUCUUGAGCAGCCAUGCCAACGUUGUGCAGGCAUCACAGAGGGUUUGAGGAUUUAA
This 228-nucleotide long non-coding RNA is filed under the name Bos indicus x Bos taurus (hybrid cattle). RNAcentral describes it as "lncRNA (ENSBIXG00000011054.1)". The record is from RNAcentral. Lineage: Eukaryota; Metazoa; Chordata; Mammalia; Artiodactyla; Bovidae.